Molecule: long non-coding RNA, 487 nt
Organism: Salvelinus sp. IW2-2015
Lineage: Eukaryota; Metazoa; Chordata; Actinopteri; Salmoniformes; Salmonidae
Source: RefSeq, a predicted model, not a curated record
UCUCAACCCAAUUGAACACUUAUGGGAGAUUCUGAAGCGGCGCCUGAGACAGCAUUUUACACCACCGUCAACAAUACACCAAAUUAUAUUUAUUGUGGAAGAAUGGUGUAGCAUCCCUCCAAUAGAGUUCCAGACACUUAUAGAAUCUAUUCCAAUAUGCAUUUAAACUGUUCUGGCUMGUGGUGGCCMAACGCCCUAAUAAGAAACUUUAUGUUGGUGUUUCCUUUAUUUUGGCAGUUACCUGCACAUCAAUUUGAAUUUAUUAAUUUAUGAUUGUCUGCAGAAUGAGAAGUCCUCAACUUUCACCAGCUAUGUCUUAAUCUCAACAGCCUGGGUGAAUUACUUCAUAGCUUGGGAACCAAAGGAAUUUUGUGGAAUUUCAAAAAUGACUGUUCCGAGAGAACGGGUCUGGAUACCAGAUAUAGGUAUCCAAGAAGACAUCUCUGAUACAAGUAGUACCAUAUUGAGCCCAUAUGUCCAGGUGCAU